CGCGCACGAUAACCACGGGAAACUGUGGCUAAGAGCGCGGAUUGAGACGCAGCCCUAUCAGCAAGUUGGUAGUGUAACGGACUACCAAGGCGGCGACGGGUGACGGGAAAUCGGGGUUUGAUUCCGGAGAGGGAGCCUGAGAGAUGGCUCCCACGUCCAAGGACGGCAGCAGGCGCGAAAAUUGCCCACUCUCUCGCGAGGAGGCAGUUACGAGGCGUGACGGAAGGGCGCACCGCAAAGACGUGCGCGAACGCGAUUGGAGGGCAAGUUCGGUGCCG
This 278-nucleotide ribosomal RNA is filed under the name Microsporidium sp. RNAcentral describes it as "partial small subunit ribosomal RNA". It matches the Rfam family "Microsporidia small subunit ribosomal RNA", at positions 113 to 395 of the family's 1311-position model. The record is from RNAcentral. Lineage: Eukaryota; Fungi; Microsporidia.